UGUUCCUCGCCAGCCUGCAUAGGGGGUGAGAGCAUAAUCCUCCUUGGGGAUUCAAAUAUGACACAACCGCUGUGCUGUCCGUCCUGAUUAACACUUGACAGCCAUUCUUCAGUCUUGAAAAAUAUUGGAGAGCUAGAAGACCGCCUGCUGCUCCAAUCUGUUUAUGUGUCACCCUCGCUGUGCCUCUGUCCAAGUCCUGUGGGCUGGGCGUCCUUGACAAACAGCCCCCCAACCUGUCAAUGACGCGUCUGUCGUGACAGUCUCAUGGCAAAAACAGUCCCCUAAUCGAACUCUUUUCCGAAGAAAUUUGGCCGACAUCCAAGUCUUUAUCUUCAGAACACACCUGUGUUCUUUUGUUUGAUGCGGAUAACAACGGGAUGAAUACGGAAAACUCCGUUUGAUGCGGAUAACAACGGGAUGAAAUCCUUUGGCUUUUUGUCCACCACUGAAAUGGACGCAUGUGAAGUAAGCCUAAACGCAUUACAGGGGAUGCUGCUGCCAUUAGACCCAAAAGUCUGAGGCACAAACUCACCGUCACUGUGCGGCCUGUUUUGAAAUGGCGAAGGCAUGACAUGAAAGACUGAAUGCGUGGGGGAGACAAUUGUGUCCUCAUUGCGCGAGAGUCCAGAUCUAUCCCCAAAAAAGGUUAUCCGCUUGGAGGGGAUAAAAACACUUUUUGGAAAUUCAUUAAAAAGCUUGAAAGUGUAUUAAUAAAAAACACACUGGUUGAGUGGAGCCCAAGGAACCAAGGUCUAACCAACUCUAAGAGAGGGAAUGAAGCUGAGCGCGAAACCCUUACCAUAUAGGAUUUCAGAAAGUGCGUAGAGUCUUGCGUGCACACUUAGCACUUACGUGGAUUUUAGAAAGUACAGAGAGCUUAGCGUGUGUACUUUAAUGCAUAAACCCAGGCUGCUUAGAUGAUUCAGCACGAGAUCUCGAUGAGAGCGUGCUUGAGUCUGUAAUUGUGCUAAUAGUAGCCAAUCGUCUAGGCAAAGGAGCCACAAUGGGGCCAGAACUGUGUCCAUGCAUUUCAUGAAAGUCCAUGGAGGGGCUAAACUGAAGAGAAAAACACGGAAUUGAUAAGCUUUGUCCUCCAAAGCGAAUUUGAGUAACUUCCUCUCUCUUGAUGAUCUGAAUAUGAAAGUAUGCAUCCUUCAGAUCAAUUAUGAGAAACCAAUUGUUUGGUUGAAUCUGAGACAGAAUAGAUUUUAUCAUCAACAUCUUGAAUUUGCUCAUCCUGAGUGCAAGAUUCAAAUGGCAUAAAGCAAAUAUUGGUAGUUUUUUUUUUUUUUUAACAAAAUAUCGGCUGUAAGAACCUGACUCCAUCUGAGAGGGGUGUACUUCAUCUAUAGCCCGUUUUCUCAGUAGAGAUGACAUCUCUUGUCGCAGCACUGCGGUUUCUUCUAAACUCACAAUCAAGGGAAGAAUAUCACGGAGAGGAGGCGGGCGGGAAACUGAAUGGUGUACCCGUAACAAACUGUGCGUAACACCCAUUGGGGAAUGUAGGGCAAGCGUUCCCACACGGCCCGAAAAAGCUUAAUGGUCUUAAUGGUCUUAAGACCUCCGUCUGCGGCUGUGGUGUCUCCACAUGCGUUAGAAUUUCUGAGCCCGGAAAGCUUGCGGCGUCCAUAAGCACAGGAAAUUUAUGUCAAAGUUGCUUUGCGUUUCGGUGUAUAUAAUCCUGAAGCGUGUUUACAGCCAAAUUUAUUCCAACAGGAUGCACAUUGGGCCCCGCUGCUAGCGAGAAAGCGGCAGCUUGUGGGCCGUCAUAAAACAGGUCAUCUUUACCAGACCUUUGGGCCGUCCCUCGAACUUUGAAGGUUGAAGUGCGCAGAUUGUCUGAGUGGUAGCUCGGUCCAACGCUGCUUGAAGCGCAUUUGCGGCGAGACAGUCAAUGUUAGAGUUUUUUUUUUUAAGAGAUCUGGCUGCAUCCAUAAGAAAAGAUAUAUUCUUUUCUUUAAUACUGGUGAGGUUGAGCCAAAGGUGGUGCUAAACCGUCUCCAUGGAGCGUGGCAGCCGCCUGACCUGAAGCUGAGUAAAAUUUCUCGCCGAGAUCAGACGUGACUCGACACGCCUUCGAAGGAAGCAGGGGCGAGACUUCCAGGCCGCGGCCGAGUUCGGCGCGAGAUGUUCGGCUAGAGUGUAACCUUACUUUUCUAGAUUCUCCAGGACUGAUUUCAUGUAAUUUUAUAUCAAAUAAAAAGAUUCAGGGUGGUAAAAACUUUUUCAAGGCACUUCAGUGUCUAUAACUUUUAAUAUUUUUGAGCAUUAUCAACUUCAAGUAAACUUCAUAAUUCCAUCAUGUUAUCAUUUUUUUUUUACUAAGACUAAAAGAAUGUUAGUUUUUGUAGAUGUUGAAAGCCAGAGACAAGAUAACUUAAGUCUUUUGAGACUGAUGUGAGUUUCUGUUGUGUCCUGCCUGUUUACUUCACAUUUUGAUGCAACAACAGUAUGAUUACAUGUUCAUAUUUUAUUUAAACCAUUGAUGUCCCUUUUUUCUUUGCAGAACUCAAACUAACUUUGGAGUUAAGGACACAGAAGCCUGCUUGUGUGAGGAAGAGGUGAUUUUAUCAGCUUCUUUGGAAGAGAGGGAAAGACCGUUUAAGAACUCAAACCAACUUUGGAGUUGUCUGAUUUGGAGAGUCAUCAUUCUUGGUCUUCUCUCUUAAAGGAAUAGUUCACGCAAAAAAAUCAUUUACUUGCCCUUAUGUCAUUCCAAACCUAUAAGACUUUUGUCUGUCUUUACAACACAAAUGAAUAUAUUUUUCAUUUUCUCAUAAUUUUUAGUUAAUCCAUUAAGAGUCUAGAUAAUGAGUUAUUGUAAAAGUAAUCCAUUCGGAUAUUUAUAUAUAAAUAAAUCUUAAAUUAUAUGAUAGCGAACAUAUAUGUUCAAAAGAAAAUAUUGGUCUCCCAGACUAGCAAUGGAGGACAAAAAUUAAGAGAAUAUUAAAUAUAUUUAUUUGUGUUCCAAAAAUUAGCAGAGUUUGUAUGGUUCUGGAACAACAUGGGGGAGAGUAAAUUAUGACCAUUUUAAUUUUUUUGUGGACUAACCCUUUGAAGAGCAGCCCUCCAGUACAUGAGAAUUUGUAUGUCAUGUCUGUUUUAAUAUUUCAGUAAAGAAUUCGCUUUCUGAAAGCAAUAUAUUUAUUCAAACAAUAUCACAUGCGCCGUUUUAGACAGAGACAUUAAACAACCACACAAAGUGGUUGAAAUUAUAAAACAGAUUAUUUACCCAUCCUUACUGGUGUGAAUACAACUCUAUCUGAAAAUGGAUAGAGUUUAAUUUAAUGUUUCCUUUUUCAAAUGUGUUUCUCUUUUUAGGCCACUGAUGAAGAACAGGCGGUGACUGGGAUUUGUAGGUUUAAUGCCUAGCUCAAUUUGGGUUCAUUUGAGCCUAUUGCAAUGUAGUAAUUUUAAACCAUAAAAAAGAAACCCAGCAUGCUGGGUUAAACAUAAUAACCCAACUAGUUGGGUUAAAAUAACCCAGCGUUGGGUUUGUCCCUUUUUGACCAAGCGCUAGGUUGCCAAAAUAACCCAAAUUGGGUUGUUUUCAACCCAGCAGUUAGAGUGUAAUUUACGAAAAGUCUCUUAUUUCUCAUAAUAUUUUACAUUUUACAGUGGUAACAGUACAUAUACAUAUUACGGAAAAUUUAUUUUUCAGUAUAACCUUUUAAAGUAAUUAUAAAUUAAAUAUUUAAAUUAUUAAAUUAUAAUUACUUGAUAUGAAGAAUUAGUAGCAAGUCCAUAAGAACAAGUAGUAAUCAUGAAAAUAUAAAGCUAAAUUCUAUAAAAUCUAUUAAAUAUUUAAUGAAUAAAAAUGAUAUUUUAGGCAUAGAACAAAAUACAUAAUGAUAUGAGAAGUGUAUACCAUAGAGUUUUUUUUUUUUUUUUAAAUUUGCACUUUUCGAAGCUGUUGUAAGCUGUAUAAAAAACACAAGGUGGCUGAAUUUGCAUGCUAUUUAGACACAUUAGCUGAAGCUUAUAGACGUUCAUUAUUUUCACUUAAUUUAAUUAGUUUUUAGCAGCCCCUCUGAACUGUUAAGCCCCUCCUUAGCACCCUGAAAAAAAAAAAUCCUGGAGCCGCCACUGUUAAGUGCGAUAGUCAGCAUUCAAAUAAAUUUGAUCGUGAAUAAAUGUUACAUGUGCAUAAUUUAAAAUAGGCCUACAAGAAAACAUUUUUAUGCAUCCUAGUCAUGUAAGUCCAUUAACUUUGCAACAUUCGAUCUCUUUACUUAACGUUCUGAAUACUUUUGUAAAUAAUAGCCUAUUGUAAAUGCUCGACAUGAAAAUGCUACCAUGUCAUUCCAUGUUUGUUUUCAUAGUCUUGUUUCAGUUUAUAGUUUUCAUAGUCUUGUUUCAGUUUACAGUUUUCAUAGUCUUGUUUAAGUUUAUAGUUUUCAUAGUCUUGUUUCAGUUUAUAGUUUUUCAUAGUUUUGUCUUUUUCUUGCUUUGCCCUGUUACUCGUGUUUUGACCCUUUGCUCUGAAUUCUGGAUUACCUCUCUUGCUUAGCCC
This is a long non-coding RNA of Cyprinus carpio carpio, 4513 nucleotides long. The record is from Ensembl. Lineage: Eukaryota; Metazoa; Chordata; Actinopteri; Cypriniformes; Cyprinidae.